GAUGAACGCUGGCGGCGUGCCUAAUACAUGCCAGUCGAGCGAACAGACGAGGAGCUUGCUCCUCUGACGUUAGCGGCGGACGGGUGAGUAACACGUGGAUAACCUACCUAUAAGACUGGGAUAACUUCGGGAAACCGGAGCUAAUACCGGAUAAUAUAUUGAACCGCAUGGUUCAAUAGUGAAAGACGGUUUUGCUGUCACUUAUAGAUGGAUCCGCGCCGCAUUAGCUAGUUGGUAAGGUAACGGCUUACCAAGGCAACGAUGCGUAGCCGACCUGAGAGGGUGAUCGGCCACACUGGAACUGAGACACGGUCCAGACUCCUACGGGAGGCAGCAGUACGGAAUCUUCCGCAAUGGGCGAAAGCCUGACGGAGCAACGCCGCGUGAGUGAUGAAGGUCUUCGGAUCGUAAAACUCUGUUAUUAGGGAAGAACAAAUGUGUAAGUAACUAUGCACGUCUUGACGGUACCUAAUCAGAAAGCCACGGCUAACUACGU
RNAcentral lists this ribosomal RNA (496 nucleotides) under uncultured bacterium. RNAcentral describes it as "partial 16S ribosomal RNA". It matches the Rfam family "Bacterial small subunit ribosomal RNA", at positions 28 to 506 of the family's 1533-position model. The record is from RNAcentral.